GCGCCGUUGGUCUAGUGGUAGGAUUCUCGCUUCGGGUGACCCCAAGCUCAGCUUGGCCAAAUGUGAGAGGUCCCGGGUUCAAACCCCGGAUGGCGCC
Molecule: transfer RNA, 97 nt
Filed under: Plectosphaerella cucumerina
Lineage: Eukaryota; Fungi; Ascomycota; Sordariomycetes; Glomerellales; Plectosphaerellaceae
Also listed under: 1 other name
Description: tRNA-Pro
Rfam family: tRNA
About the family: Transfer RNA (tRNA) molecules are approximately 80 nucleotides in length.
Source: RNAcentral